This 596-nucleotide long non-coding RNA is filed under the name Centruroides sculpturatus (bark scorpion). RNAcentral's name for it is "uncharacterized LOC111636920". Lineage: Eukaryota; Metazoa; Arthropoda; Arachnida; Scorpiones; Buthidae. The record is from RNAcentral.
ACAGGGCGGAAACAGUUUAAAAAAUUGACGAUAACCGAAUCCGUAUUUAUUUUGCUAACUUUUAUUUAAGCUAGAAGACUAUAUAACUUUUUAAAAAAUAAAUAUCAGCAAUUAAAUAGCGCUGGAUUUUCAACAAGUUUUCCAUUCAUUCCGCUAACUUUCGUCUGCCAGCUUAAAACGGGUUUGCACUACAUCUAUCUGGCAACGUCGUUCGUUGGUUAAAUUUUGGAACGAAAAUUGAAUGUGUGGAAGCUCGAUUCGUUCGUACGAACGCGUAACCGAAGAAAGAGAGAUUUGCUGUUGUGACUAACAUAAUUAUUGAUUUGAAAUUCAAACCACCACUUUAAUUGAAUAUUUUUCAAAAAAAUAACUAUUACAUUUCAACAAGGCCAGUUACUAUAUUAGAAAUUUAGAAUAUUAAAAAAUGUCAGAAAAUGAAGAUUAUUUAACUGACCAAUUAAAUGAUAAAUUUCAUCAACUACAAGAAAGUGGAAAAGCACUUGCAAAAGAUGGGAAGAUUUCUAAUGCCAUUGAAUUAUUUAAAGAGGCUUACAAGAUUAACCCUACUAAGAAAGUUAAAUUGAGGAUAAAAAAGU